UAGGGAAUCUUCCGCAAUGGACGAAAGUCUGACGGAGCAACGCCGCGUGAGUGAAGAAGGAUUUCGGUUCGUAAAACUCUGUUGUUAGGGAAGAAAAAAUGUAUAGUAACUAUAUACAAAAGAGACGGUACCUAACCAGAAAGCCACGGCUAACUACGUGCCAGCAGCCGCGGUAAUACGUAGGUGGCAAGCGUUGUCCGGAAUUAUUGGGCGUAAAGCGCGCGCAGGUGGUUUAGAAAGUCUGAUGUGAAAGCCCACGGCUCAACCGUGGAGGGUCAUUGGAAACUAAAAAACUUGAGUGCAGGAGAGAAAAGUGGAAUUCCUAGUGUAGCGGUGAAAUGCGUAGAGAUUAGGAGGAACACCGGUGGCGAAAGCGGCUUUUUGGCCUGCAACUGACACUGAGGCGCGAAAGCGUGGGGAGCAAACAGG
RNAcentral lists this ribosomal RNA (429 nucleotides) under Verrucomicrobiota bacterium. RNAcentral describes it as "Verrucomicrobia bacterium partial 16S ribosomal RNA". It matches the Rfam family "Bacterial small subunit ribosomal RNA", at positions 355 to 776 of the family's 1533-position model. The record is from RNAcentral. Lineage: Bacteria; Pseudomonadati; Verrucomicrobiota.